Podarcis lilfordi (Lilford's wall lizard) is the source of this 2921-nucleotide non-coding RNA. The record is from the annotation of a GenBank genome assembly. Lineage: Eukaryota; Metazoa; Chordata; Lepidosauria; Squamata; Lacertidae.
UCUAGUUAACGGAAAGUAUAUGUGCUCAUGUAGGUAGCAUUUCAAUUUUAGGUUUCUUUACCAUCUUUGAAAUCUCAUGGCGACCCUGCGAGAAGCACUUGUUCUGAAAUCUCAUUAUCACAACAUCCCAUGGGAGAAGCAGGAAGCAAUUACAUUAAGGAGACACUAGGGGAGCAGGGGGUUGAUGUAAUUUCAUUAUUGUGCCCUACUGAGACCACCAAGUGCUAGUGCGGUUUUUUGCUUCUGCAUUUACGCAUUAUUGGGUAUAUGUGUGCCUAUGACUUGAAGGACAACCAACAGGGGCUGGGGCACAACUGCUUAGCUACACAUCCCAACCUAGGGAGAGGGUUCAUAUCCAAAGUUGUAUGCCUAACAUUUGGUAACCAUUGGUUAGCUAUGGUAGGAAAGGUUAGCAUCUUCCAGUAAGAACAAAUGGACUAAUUAAGGUGAAAAUCCUAAUUACAUUUGCUUAAAGGAAGUUACAUCUAUUUCCAAAUCAUUGUGCUUAGAGCAGAGACACAUGACUUUAGUUUUGCACACAGUAACAAACAAACAAACAAACAAACUUCUGGUGGUUUAAAUGCACCCCAUGUUUGGAAAAGCACUGUCUGAUACAUGUGGUGGCAGUGUCCCUUUGUAGCUACAUUUUGUGACUCUGCUUUUGAGCAUGUAUGUAAAGUUACCUAUCAGCAGGUCCCUAAAUCUCCUUUGCUGCCAUUGUUAGGUUCUAUUUUUGUAAGUUCUAAUCUAAACUAAUGCAUAAUGAGCAUCUGCUGUAAUUUUUAGUAACUGCUAGGAUGUCAGUUUCUAGUGGCUGGUAGAGCUGUAAUGAACUCUCGGGAACUGGAAUAACCACAUCAGAAAAUAGGGAUGGAGCUUGCUGGAAUUUUUCAUUUGGUUGCAUAAAAUCAGCUUAUUAAGUCAUUCAAUUCACUAACCACCUUGUAAUUUGAAACUGAUGUAAGUGACUUUGACUGUCUUCUUAAAAAAAAAUAAUCGUUUCACAAUUGAUUGUGCAACUUAGGUUUUACUAAUGUUAAUAAUUUUUGGCUCCCAGCUCCCUGGGUGGUAUUUUGCCCUGAAGGUCAUAUGGUGUUCUUAUUCUCAGCAAAACAAAGUUUUUUCUUCACCUUAUGCUUCCUCUGUUAAUCACACCUUCCUGCAAUCUUUUUCCUCCUCCACGAAGUAUUAAUUGAAAGGGCAGCUCAUCCUUGUGGUCUUUUGAGACCUGAAAUUUUCCAGAAUUUGUUUUUUCCUUUAAAAAAUUUUUAAAAAAUACAUUUUGUAAGUGGUGUUGUGUUGUCUGAAUUGUUAAAGUAAUUUUUAAAUUGUAUCAUGCUUGUUAUCUUCCUUAGUCAUUUUGUUCUGACUUCUCCAUUUUUUAAUGUUACUCUCAUGACUCCUUCUAAUCACCAGCCAUACCACCCACCUCCACAGUCCUUAAGGAUGUGUCACAAGAGACAUCAGUUUAUGCACCAGGAGAAUUCCAAUUUGUGUCGGAGACUGAGUUGACACUGACAGGUAACCUGCAACAUUUUCAGCCCAAGAGAUGAGUUGCCCCUCUAAAAGCAAAGCACAGACACACUGUUAACAUUCCCAUUUUCACAGCAGCAUUUUGCCCUGGCACUCCACACAAACCCAACGUAAUCUUACAGCACUGUAUUAAUGUGCCUUAAUUUCUGUCAUGCUGGGUUGCUUUUAUAUGUCUUUAAAGUUUCUGUUUCUCUAAGCUCCUGGUGGUGGCACCCUUAAAACAAAAAUACUGAAACUGCGCAAAUGGAACUAGAGAAACAGGCAUUGCCAUUUAUAGCUGAUUAGCUGGCACGCUGGUUGCAUGACUCCUUGUAAAAGUAACUUUAUACCCCAAUAUUUGCAGCCUUCUGUCUAGAGUCUGAACUCAUGUGCUCUUGAUGCAAAACAGCUACAAGUUUAUACAUGAACAUGACAUUUCCAUUUUAUGGCCAGAAUGAAUUAGUAAGGAAUGGAGCAAAUGGAAUACACAGACGGCUUAACUCUAGAAGAACACAACUCAGUGGGAAAGUGUUCCAGCAAGUGAAGAACAAUGGAGAGUGGCAGAACAAAGUAUAAAAGAAUCUCCCCUAGGUAAAACUGUGUUUUUGCUGUUGGAAACAGAAGGUAGAUAGUGAUUGUAAACAUUACCUAGAAUGCUGUUGGGCCAUAGAAAGCUCAACAGCAGCAGUUGUGCAAUAAACCUGUCAUCUUCAGAUGCUACUUUCCUGCAAAAACAAAAGGAGGAAUUCUGAAGUGAAUUAUUUUUUAAAAAAGAAGCUAUGCAGCAAAACUAAAAUUAGGGCAAUUAAUUCCCAUGUUGGUAUACAAAGGUAUCUGUGUAUAAUUCCCACUAGAGUUUGAGGUAGAUUAAAAAGAUUCACAAGAUUUACUUUGCAAUAAAUCCUGCAUUUUCAGAAUACUUUCCUUAUCUCAAAUGGUCUCAGAUUUUCCGAGCAACACAUUCCCACUGCUUUCUUCCUCAGAAAGGGUCAUACUAGUGAUAAAUGAAGCAGCGACCCAGCGGUAUUCAAAAUGUCCUUCUGAGUUGUUAGCAACUUGAGUACAAUUCCAAACACAUUUAUUUGGAACGUGGGUUUUGCUUUUAUUUUUAUCUUUUUAAGGAACAGAUCCAGUUUGCACAAUACUCGCUUGAUGUGGCAGGUACCAAAAAUAAUAACAAAAGAUACAACUCCAUGAUCAGUCUUUCUUCUACACCGGGGGAGACAGAGGCUGGAUCCGGAUCUACUCAUAGAUCAGGAAGGAUUUCUGACUUCCAAUGGUGCAACAGUGGUUCUUUCUCUGUAUUCGGAUGCUGAGCUUAAGAAAACUUUGGGGGAAACCACGCACGGGAGCUGUCAAACUAAGGGCUCACAUGUGGAUGUUUCAAAUAAACAGAAGAGCCCAACUCU